UGAAUAGAUCAAACCUGAACUCUCCCUGGAAGCCAGGAUAACUAAACUGAGGCUCCUAUCAAGAAAUCACUAAGAAAGCUUAGAAGAGUCAUACAUAGAAAUAUAUGAUACUUUGGAAGGUGGUGAUGCCUCCAUGAUGUUGUCAAGAAAAGUAACACUAGGAAUGGUGCAUGGAGUAUGGAGGAAAAUUCAUGUGGCAUUUGAAAAUGCAGCAAGAAAACAAAUUGUCAUGUGAUUUAAGACUAAGAAAAUGAGAACAGCCAUUUACGUCCCAUCAUGUGAACUACCCCAAUCCAUCAGUCUUGAUUCCUCAAAUAACAGCUUCUGCAGAACUGAAGCAUCAAUUUCUUUAGCCACUCAGAUUUAUCUGUCAGAUUUUUCCUGGGCCAUCUAGUGGCUACUUAUGGAAACUGACAGACAAACAUGAAACCGCCAUCAUGUUAUGAAACUCUUAAAGGUUAGUUAUUUGUAGAAAGAGUGCCUGCCAACAUUGGAUUCCCAUAAAUAGGCCACAGCUGCAAGAGCAGGAGGCAUACUUCUGAAUAACCUAGGCAUUGAUCGGUGUGGGAAAAUUGCUUUGUAAGUGAGAGAUAAGCUUAUUGCCCUUCAAAGGUGGGUUACAGUGAGGCAGAGAAGUUCAUCCGGCUUUUGGCAGAGUUCACUUGUGCUAUGUUUCACUUUAAUUCCAUAUCUACAGUAAGGAUGAUGGUCUGCCAGUUUCUACUAGUGUUCUGCUGUAUCUGUGGUUUCAUGAGAAGUCCCCCGGACAAGUUAAAGAUAAUUAACUUGCAGAGCCUACAUUGUGUAAUCAAGACACUUAGCAGUCAACAGAAACUGCAAAAAAGGGUUAUAUUGGUGCUUCUGGAAUAUGCUUCUAUUAGCCAUUGAAAGCAAUUCUUUUAUGCCAGAGCAUCUUUGAGAUGUAGCACAUAAAGAUAGCAGUGGCAUGUGUCUUCAACUUUUAAGCAUGUGCAUUACUCAAGAUUUGUCUCUUUUUCAUUCAGACAGAGGUUGUUUCUUCACAGGCCAGAAUACUCCCAGAUCAGCUGGAAUAUUCUGACCCUGAAACUGCCCUGAAUUCCCCCCCAUUACCUUGGGCACUCCACUGAAAUGCCUGGUGGCUUAAGUGGUCUGGUGCCACUUCUGCUGAUGCAAGUCGCUCGCUCUGAGGUCAGAAGAAGGCAGACAGCACUGAUCAAAUGGCUGGUUGCCUCAUCCUGACCUCAGAGCAAGUGACUUGCAUCAGCAGCAGUGGGACACAGUGUAAAUAGCUGCCCAGUGUUGCUACAGAGGGCUCUAGAUUUUCCUAGAAGAUCCAGAGCAAAAGGUGAUUU
This is a long non-coding RNA of Sceloporus undulatus (fence lizard), 1334 nucleotides long. RefSeq lists it as uncharacterized. Lineage: Eukaryota; Metazoa; Chordata; Lepidosauria; Squamata; Phrynosomatidae. The record is from RefSeq and is a predicted model, not a curated record. The transcript is spliced from 2 exons.